Molecule: ribosomal RNA, 253 nt
Filed under: uncultured bacterium
Lineage: Bacteria
Description: partial 16S ribosomal RNA
Rfam family: Bacterial small subunit ribosomal RNA
Source: RNAcentral
UACGGGGGGGGCAAGCGUUGUUCGGAAUUACUGGGCGUAAAGGGCUCGUAGGCGGCCAACUAAGUCAGACGUGAAAUCCCUCAGCUUAACUGGGGAACUGCGUCUGAUACUGGAUGGCUUGGAUUCGGGAGAGGAAUGCGGAAUUCCAGGUGUAGCGGUGAAAUGCGUAGAUAUCAGGAGGAACACCUGUGGUGUAGACAGCUUACUGGACCACUUCUGACGCUGAGACGCGAAAGCGUGGGGAGCGAACAGG